AUGGCUAGUGACACUAAUGAUUUGGAAGACAGUGAAGGGAUGUACCGCGACGAUGAUCUAGAUGAAACCUUUGCUUCGCAAAGCCAGUUUGAAGAAGGACAAACUCAGUUUCUUGAUGUAGGUGGUGGAGACCCACAGUUUGAUGUCAAAAAAUUUCUGAACAACUUGCGGAAUUUGUUUUACUCAUCAAAUUACAAUGCCAAUUCUUGUAAAGGUCCCUACUUUAUUGGUCAGCGUGCCCCGCUUCCUCCAAAGAAGGCAACGAGCAGGUGUAAUCAUGGAUAUUUCAGUGAUCUGCUCAAGAAAAUUCCACCAUCAAGAUUAGAUGUCAUUAAAACUUAUGGUUGCUCUUUUAUUCUUGAUUUUGAGUGCAAUUCUGUACCAAGAGGUUUUGCCCAAUGGAUAGCAGGGAAAGUAAAUCCACCUACUGGUGACAUAGUUCUUGACAACAAAGUGAUUCCAAUGAGCCCUGGAUCAUUUCAUCUACUCCUUGGUCUUCCAUUAGGUGGCACCUCAGUUUUAUUUGACAGUGAGGUGACUAAAGCAGCUUUCCUCGAUAUUAUUGGUGAACCUACAUUGCCUUCUAUCAAGUGGUUUGGGAUGAGAAUGCUCAAGCAUGACAUUUCUGAUAUUGAUUUUCUGAGAUGUUUUCUCCUAGUUGCCUUUGCAACUGUUUUGUGCCCCAACUCAAAUAUCUACCCCAGCACAAAAUAUCUAGGGAUUCUUAUUGAUCCAACUCAAGUUACAAACUAUGAUUUAUCAAAGUUUGUUUUGAUUGGCUUAUAUCAUACAUAA
Molecule: ribosomal RNA, 795 nt
Filed under: Triticum aestivum (bread wheat)
Lineage: Eukaryota; Viridiplantae; Streptophyta; Magnoliopsida; Poales; Poaceae
Description: partial small subunit ribosomal RNA
Source: RNAcentral